RNAcentral lists this ribosomal RNA (463 nucleotides) under uncultured bacterium. RNAcentral's name for it is "bacterial SSU rRNA". It matches the Rfam family "Bacterial small subunit ribosomal RNA", at positions 917 to 1382 of the family's 1533-position model. The record is from RNAcentral.
GGGCCCGCACAAGCAGUGGAGUAUGUGGUUUAAUUCGAAGCAACGCGAAGAACCUUACCAGGGCUUGACAUACCAUUGACGUACUUAGAGAUAGGUAUUUCCUUCGGGACAAUGGAUACAGGUGGUGCAUGGUUGUCGUCAGCUCGUGUCGUGAGAUGUUGGGUUAAGUCCCGCAACGAGCGCAACCCCUGUUGUUAGUUGCCAUCAUUAAGUUGGGCACUCUAGCGAGACUGCCGGUGACAAAUCGGAGGAAGGUGGGGACGACGUCAAAUCAUCAUGCCCCUUAUGUCCUGGGCUACACACGUACUACAAUGGCUAUUACAGAGGGAAGCGAAGCCGCGAGGUGGAGCAAAUCUCCAAAAAUAGUCCCAGUUCAGAUUGUAGGCUGAAACUCGCCUACAUGAAGUCGGAAUUGCUAGUAAUGGCAGGUCAGCAUACUGCCGUGAAUACGUUCCCGGGCCUU